RNAcentral lists this ribosomal RNA (725 nucleotides) under uncultured bacterium. RNAcentral's name for it is "bacterial SSU rRNA". It matches the Rfam family "Bacterial small subunit ribosomal RNA", at positions 70 to 811 of the family's 1533-position model. The record is from RNAcentral.
UGAAGUUUUCUUCGGAAAACGGAUUAGCGGCGGACGGGUGAGUAACACGUGGGCAACCUGCCUUAUAGAGGGGAAUAGCCUUCCGAAAGGGAGAUUAAUACCGCAUAAUAUUAUCGAAUGGCAUCAUUUGAUAAUCAAAGGAGCAAUCCGCUAUAAGAUGGGCCCGCGUCGCAUUAGUUAGUUGGUGGGGUAAUGGCCUACCAAGACGACGAUGCGUAGCCGACCUGAGAGGGUGAUCGGCCACAUUGGGACUGAGACACGGCCCAGACUCCUACGGGAGGCAGCAGUGGGGAAUAUUGCACAAUGGGGGAAACCCUGAUGCAGCAACGCCGCGUGAGCGAUGAAGGUCUUCGGAUCGUAAAGCUCUGUCUUUAGGGAUGAUAAUGACAGUACCUAAGGAGGAAGCCACGGCUAACUACGUGCCAGCAGCCGCGGUAAUACGUAGGUGGCAAGCGUUAUCCGGAAUUAUGGGCGUAAAGGGAGCGUAGGCGGAUAUUUAAGUGGGAUGUGAAAUACAUGAGCUCAACUCGUGUGCUGCAUUCCAAACUGGAUAUCUAGAGUGCAGGAGAGGAGAGUGGAAUUCCUAGUGUAGCGGUGAAAUGCGUAGAGAUUAGGAAGAACACCAGUGGCGAAGGCGACUCUCUGGACUGUAACUGACGCUGAGGCUCGAAAGCGUGGGGAGCGAACAGGAUUAGAUACCCUGGUAGUCCACGCCGUAAACGAUG